Molecule: small RNA, 45 nt
Filed under: Gemmata sp. SH-PL17
Lineage: Bacteria; Pseudomonadati; Planctomycetota; Planctomycetia; Gemmatales; Gemmataceae
Description: Acido-Lenti-1 RNA
Rfam family: Acido-Lenti-1 RNA
Source: Rfam by way of RNAcentral
CCCAGGGUGUUGCCCUGGGCUUAGGAAUCGCGCCCCUUCGGGGCU